This 1158-nucleotide ribosomal RNA is filed under the name Triticum aestivum (bread wheat). Its description in RNAcentral is "partial small subunit ribosomal RNA". Lineage: Eukaryota; Viridiplantae; Streptophyta; Magnoliopsida; Poales; Poaceae. The record is from RNAcentral.
AUGGGCAUGGGGUGGAAAGCCGUGAACGACGCCAAGCCGUACCUGGCGAUGGUGCUGCUGCAGGUGGGGUUCGCCGGGAUGUACAUCGUCGCCGUGGCGUCCCUCAAGCGCGGUAUGAGCCACUUCGUGCUCGUCGUCUACCGUAACAUCGUCGCCACCGUCGUCAUGGCGCCCUUCGCCCUCUACUUCGAGAGGGGACUGAGGCCAAAGAUGACAAUCACCAUCUUCAUCAAGAUCAUGGGGCUCGCAUUACUCGAGCCUGUGCUUGACCAGAACCUCUACUACAUGGGCGCGAACCUGACCUCGGCGGGGUUCGCCACGGCGCUGGUCAACAUCCUCCCGGCCGUCACCUUCGUGUUGGCGCUCAUCCUGCGCAUGGAGAAGGUGCGGCUGCGGAGCUUGCACAGCCAGGCCAAGAUCGCCGGCACGGUCCUCACGGUGGCCGGCGCCGUGCUCAUGGUCCUGUACCACGGCCCCGUCGUGCAGUUCCCGUGGGCCAAGGGCCAGCACCACGCCGGCAGUGCGGCUGCCGCCGCCGACGGAGCGGCGUGGCUGAAGGGGACCAUCAUGACCAUCGCCGCCUGCGUGGCCUGGUCGUGCUUCUUCAUCCUCCAGUCCAGCACGCUCCGGGACUACCCGGCGGAGCUGUCCCUCACGGUGCUCAUCUGCGGCGUGGGCUCGGUCAUGAGCACCGCCGUCGCCGUCGUCGCCGAGCGCGCCAACACCCAUGCUUGGGUCAUCGGCUUCGACACUCGCCUCUUCACGGUCGUGUACGGCGGCAUAGUGUGCUCCGGCGUGGCGUACUACGUGCAGGGCAUCGUGUCGAGGCAAAGAGGCCCGGUGUUCGUCACGGCCUUCAACCCGCUCUGCAUGAUCGUAACCGCCGUCAUGGGCUCCAUAAUUCUGAAAGAGGAGAUCACUCUCGGAAGUGUGAUUGGUGCAGUGAUCAUCGUGGUAGGUCUCUACUUUCUCAUCUGGGGCAAGAGCACGGACGGCAUCAGCCAAGUUUCCGACGUCAGUGUCAAGGGCGCCGGCGAGCUGCCCUUAACCACGGCGACCAACGGCCACGGCAGCGACAGCGGCAAGCACGUGCUUGGCAACGGCAACGGCGACGUCCAUGUCUUGGAUGUUGAGACGCCGACGACCAAUGGCCACUAG